UAUAUUCAUGAGAACUACAGCCGGG
This 25-nucleotide non-coding RNA is filed under the name Cricetulus griseus (Chinese hamster). The record is from RNAcentral. Lineage: Eukaryota; Metazoa; Chordata; Mammalia; Rodentia; Cricetidae.